GAUGAACGCUAGCGGCAGGCUUAAUACAUGCAAGUCGUGGGGCAGCAUGAGUAGCAAUACUUGAUGGCGACCGGCAAACGGGUGAGGAACACGUACACAACCUUCCUUCAAGCGGGGAAUAGCCCAGAGAAAUUUGGAUUAAUACCCCAUAAUAUAUUUGAUAAGGCAUCUUAUUAAUAUUAAAGCUUCGGCACUUGAUGAUGGGUGUGCGGCUGAUUAGAUAGUUGGCGGGGUAACGGCCCACCAAGUCUACGAUCAGUAGCUGAUGUGAGAGCAUGAUCAGCCACACGGGCACUGAGACACGGGCCCGACUCCUACGGGAGGCAGCAGUAAGGAAUAUUGGACAAUAGGACGG
Molecule: ribosomal RNA, 355 nt
Filed under: uncultured bacterium
Lineage: Bacteria
Description: bacterial SSU rRNA
Rfam family: Bacterial small subunit ribosomal RNA
Source: RNAcentral